RNAcentral lists this ribosomal RNA (3432 nucleotides) under Triticum aestivum (bread wheat). RNAcentral's name for it is "partial small subunit ribosomal RNA". The record is from RNAcentral. Lineage: Eukaryota; Viridiplantae; Streptophyta; Magnoliopsida; Poales; Poaceae.
AUGAGCUUAUCUGCUACCAUUGGGGCCAUCAGUGGCUUCAAUGAGUGUGUCACUUUCUGGCAGUGGGCCAGAUCUGCCAUUUCAUCACUGCACUCUCAAUGGAGUGGCUCACAGGAGCAAGAUCUCCAGAGUCGUGUAUUGCAGUUGGAGAGUGGCCUACAAGUUCUGAGGGAUACUCUUCCUGCAAUGCACGACCUCAUUAAUAAAGCAGAAUGGAGCCACGAUGAUGCUGUGGCAAAAAUCCUUCCCAAUCUCAAGGAUGCAGUGUUUGAUGCUGAGGACCUUAUUGAUGAGUUCAGAUGGUAUGAGAAGAAGGUGCAAGCGGAGGGCAAUGCAAGCCAGUCUCCUUCCAUUGACUUCUUUGACACCGUAAUCCAAGAUGGCUUCAACAAACUGGAUGACGUCCAGUUGAGGUUGAGCAGUCUUUCAAGUCAGAUGGAGAGUAUGGGGCUUCGUGGAGUCGCACAACGCUUUGACAAAUUAGUCAGGCCAGAGACCACCUCUUUUCCAAGUGAAACAAAAAUAUUUGGUCGUGACAAGGAGCUGAAGCAAGUAUUAGAAUUUCUCAAUGUGCCUAUAAAUUCAAAACGUAAGAGAGCAACUAGUUCAGUCAAUGCAUCAACAAGCACAGCAGCAAGCAACCAUUUUAAUAGCGAAUCAAGUCUCCCUGUUCUUGUGAUGGAUGGAUUUGGUGGUGUUGGAAAGACUACUUUGGCCCAACAUAUCUGCAGCCAUAAAGGAGUGAGGUCACACUUUAAGAAGAUAAUUUGGAUUUGUGUCUCCGAUGACUUCGAUGUGAAGAGGCUGACUAAAGAGGUCAUACAAUCCUUUACUGGAAAGGAGGCAACGGCUGGUAAUUUGAAUACUCUUCAAGAGAUUCUCUCUAACCAUGUGAACAAUAAAAGGUUAUUAAUAGUCCUUGACGACGUGUGGGAUGAUGCCUUGAAGGAAAAUGGACAGUGUUGGAAAAAGUUUUGUGCACCAUUUAGAAGUGCCCAAGAGGGAAGUGCGAUGUUGGUCACCACUAGAUGUCCAAAUGUUAGGGACGGGGUGCGCACAAUGGAGCCUGUUAGAUUAGAUGGUCUGGAUGAGGACAUAUUUUGGAAUUUCUUCAAAUUGUGUGCGUUUGGAUCUGAGGAAUCUAACAAUGAUCCCGAUUUAGAGGGACUUGGUAGAAGUAUAGUUCCAAAAUUGAAGGGUUCUCCUUUGGCUGCCAAAACUCUCGGACGCAUGUUGAAAGCAAACCCUGAAGUAUCACAUUGGAAAUCUAUACUUGAGAGUGAACUGUGGCGGUUGCAUCAAGAGAAGACUGAGAUUUUACCUGCCCUUCGGUUGAGCUAUAUGUAUUUACCAUUCAAAUUGAAGCGAUGCUUCGCAUUCUGUGCUAUCUACCCCAAGGAUUACAAAUUUGACAAGGAGCAUUUAGCUGAAAUUUGGGCGGCAGAAGGCUUUGUGGAGCCUCAAGGUGGUGUUCCUAUUCACGAUGUUGGCUGUCAGUAUUUUGAAGACCUUGUAGCACGGUCCUUCUUUCAAAAAGUUGGCGGUCAAUACGUAAUCCAUGACUUGCUGCAUGACAUGGCACAAAAAGUUUCAGAGGACGACUGCUUCAUCUUAAGAAAUACGAGUGACUUUGCUAUAGUUCCCCAGAAUGUUCGUCAUCUGUACGUACUCCCUAGCAGUGAAUUUGACCAUUCCAACUUGCCGAGCCUAUGCAACUACACAAAGCUGCGUACCCUAAUCUGCAAAAAGAGUUUAGGAAGAAAAGCAGAUAUUGUAAUGGAAUCCUGGUGUGAUAAACUUCUCCGUAUGCGUGUGAUGUCUUGUGCCUCCGCAGAUAAGUUACCAGAUAAUAUUGGCAACUGGAAGCAUCUUCGGUACCUUGAAAUAUCCAGAGCUUGUUCUUUGAAGAAGAUUCCUUCAACUUUCUGUUGGCUAUAUCAUAUGCAGAUUUUAUAUGCCAAGAAAUGCAAGCUAGAAAUUCCCGGUGACUUUGUGAAGUUGACCAGUUUGCAGAAAUUCGAAGCAAUAGGAUUAACUCUUGAUUCGGCCAAUAAAGAGGGACAAGGAAUUAGGUUAAUAAAGAAUCUGAACCAAAUUCGUGGAUACUUGGUGAUAAAUAAUCUUGCCGCCCUAAGUAAGGAUCAGGCAGCUGAAGCUGAACUGAAAAAUAAGAAAUAUCUUGAUAGGUUGACAUUGAAUAUGCAUUCGCCCUGGGGUUUUGGUAUGCUGCCAACCAUCCUAUCAGCCUCUUGUCAGGCUAAGAACAAAGAAGUGCUUGAAGUUCUACAACCUCCUAUCAGCCUCAAGUCUCUGCUCCUCCAGAAUUAUGGCGACUCCUCACUCCCAAGCUGGUUUCAGCCACCAAACUUGCCAAGUUUAGAAUCACUCACUUUUCAAGGAUGUGAUGGACUCAACAGCAUAAACUUAAAGGAGAUACCCGCAUUCCUGUCUCUCGCAGAUGUAAAAAUUGAAGGGUGCAAAAAUAUUUCAAGCCUCGAAGAUUUUCCUCCAGGCAUCAAGAAAAUAGUGAUUAAAAAUUGCGAGAUGUUAGAAUCAGUACCAACUGAAAAGUGUGGGGAUUUUGAUUUCCUUGAAGAAAUGUCCUUAUUCCGUUGUCCGAAUAUCCGCCUUCAAGGAUUGGUUUCGCAGUCCCUUAAGGAGCUCGUUGUGUGGGAUUCUGGUCUCUUUUGCAAUAUCAACUGCUGCUCCCUCACCGAAUUUAGUGUAUCAAGCAAGUCUAUCACAUCCAUCCAAUUGCAAACGUGGAGUCUUCCAGCACUACGAGAGCUGCGUAUUCAGUCUGAAUCUCUUGCAUCUAUUGGCGGCAUUGGAGCAUUCUCGUCCCUUAAAGUCAUAAAAUUUAGUGAGUGUCGUAAAUUGCCAACCCUUGAUGGCCUGCUAACACAAGAGCAUCUACCCGCUAUUGAGAGAAUUGAAAUCAGAUGUUGUUCGGAGUUAAAGUCCCUGCCAGCUGAAUGGUUUCCCUAUCUGAAACAUCUGGUGGUUGAUGAGUGCACAAGUCUCAAGUGGCAAACAGGUUUUGUGUUGCCAUCAUGCCUACAAAGCCUACGCUUAAAGGAAUGUGGGGAUAUCUCUCCAUGUAUUCCCAGCUGCCUAGAGAACCUCACAUCCCUCGUCUCACUUGAAAUUGAAGGAUUCAAUGGAAUAAAAUCCAUUCCAGGCAACGUUUGGCACAAUUAUCUUGUAUCACUCGAGAAAUUGGUGAUUAAGAAAUGUCAACAUCUAGUUUCAAUUGGUGGAGCAGAGGUGGUUGCAAAUAUCAAGGAGGUGGAGGUCAGGGGGUGUCCAAAGUUAGAGGAAGCGGACCAGAUCAAUAGAUGUACUAGUGGUGCCGUGCUUUAUUUGGGGAGCCAAAAUUGCUUUUCUGACCAUGUUUUCUUCUUCAAGUACAAGGAGGACAAGAAGGACUAG